Molecule: ribosomal RNA, 492 nt
Filed under: uncultured bacterium
Lineage: Bacteria
Description: partial 16S ribosomal RNA
Rfam family: Bacterial small subunit ribosomal RNA
Source: RNAcentral
AGUGAACGCUGGCGGUAGGCCUAACACAUGCAAGUCGAGCGGCAGCACAGUAAGAGCUUGCUCUUACGGGUGGCGAGUGGCGGACGGGUGAGGAAUACAUCGGAAUCUACUUUUUCGUGGGGGAUAACGUAGGGAAACUUACGCUAAUACCGCAUACGACCUACGGGUGAAAGCAGUGGAUCUUCGGACCUUGCGCGAUUGUAUGAGCCGAUGUCGGAUUAGCUAGUUGGCGGGGUAAAGGCCCACCAAGGCGACGAUCCGUAGCUGGUCUGAGAGGAUGAUCAGCCACACUGGAACUGAGACACGGUCCAGACUACUACGGGAGGCAGCAGUGGGGAAUAUUGGACAAUGGGCGCAAGCCUGAUCCAGCAAUACCGCGUGGGUGAAGAAGGCCUUCGGGUUGUAAAGCCCUUUUGUUGGGAAAGAAAAGCAGCAGGUUAAUACCCCGCUGUUCUGACGGUACCCAAAGAAUAAGCACCGGCUAACUUCGUG